GGCUCUUAGGCUUAUUUGUAGAGCCUCUGCCUUGAAAGCAGAAGGUCCCAAGUUCAAUCCCUGGCAUCUCCA
Non-coding RNA from Podarcis lilfordi (Lilford's wall lizard), 72 nucleotides. NCBI's taxonomy places the organism in Eukaryota, Metazoa, Chordata, Lepidosauria, Squamata, Lacertidae. The record is from the annotation of a GenBank genome assembly.